Takifugu rubripes (torafugu) is the source of this 1584-nucleotide long non-coding RNA. Lineage: Eukaryota; Metazoa; Chordata; Actinopteri; Tetraodontiformes; Tetraodontidae. The record is from Ensembl.
GAGGAGGCUCAGUCAGUCCUGCCACCACUGAAGCUGCACCGUGAGAAGAGGGGACGGCAGCUCACCCAGGUUCUGUCUGUACUCGGACUUCAGGCCGAGCUGCAAGAGCUGGUUCUCAAAGAUCACACCGUUGUUCUUACAAACAAACCUGCCGGUGAGAAGCAGCCGUUAGGAACGGAGCCGAGUACAGGUGCACCGAGACAGACCAGCAUCUGGAGUACAGGUGCACCCAGACAGACCAGCAUCUGGAGUACAGGUGCACCGAGACAGACCAGCAUCUGGAGUACAGGUGCACCCAGACAGACCAGCAUCUGGAGUACAGGUGCACCCAGACAGACCAGCAUCUGGAGUAGAGGUGCACCCAGACAGACCAGCAUCUGGAGUACAGGUGCACCCAGACAGACCAGCAUCUGGAGUACAGGUGCACCCAGACAGACCAGCAUCUGGAGUACAGGUGCACCCAGACAGACCAGCAUCUGGAGUACAGGUGCACCCAGACAGACCAGCAUCUGGAGUACAGGUGCACCCAGACAGACCAGCAUCUGGAGUACAGGUGCCCCCAGACAGACCAGCAUCUGGAGUACAGGUGCACCGAGACAGACCAGCAUCUGGAAUACAGGUGCACCCAGACAGACCAGCAUCUGGAGUACAGGUGCACCCAGACAGACCAGCAUCUGGAGUACAGGUGCACCCAGACAGACCAGCAUCUGGAGCAGAGGUGCACCGAGACAGACCAGCAUCUGGAGCAGAGGUGCACCCAGACAGACCAGCAUCUGGAGCAGAGGUGCACCCAGACAGACCAGCAUCUGGAGCAGAGGUGCACCCAGACAGACCAGCAUCUGGAGUACAGGUGCACCCAGACAGACCAGCAUCUGGAGUACAGGUGCACCCAGACAGACCAGCAUCUGGAGUACAGGUGCACCCAGACAGACCAGCAUCUGGAGUAGAGGUGCACCCAGACAGACCAGCAUCUGGAGUACAGGUGCACCGAGACAGACCAGCAUCUGGAGCAGAGGUGCACCGAGACAGACCAGCAUCUGGAGUACAGGUGCACCCAGACAGACCAGCAUCUGGAGUACAGGUGCACCCAGACAGACCAGCAUCUGGAGUACAGGUGCACCGAGACAGACCAGCAUCUGGAGUACAGGUGCACCCAGACAGACCAGCAUCUGGAGUACAGGUGCACCCAGACAGACCAGCAUCUGGAGUACAGGUGCACCCAGACAGACCAGCAUCUGGAGUAGAGGUGCACCCAGACAGACCAGCAUCUGGAGCAGAGGUGCACCCAGACAGACCAGCAUCUGGAGUAGAGGUGCACCCAGACAGACCAGCAUCUGGAGCAGAGGUGCACCCAGACAGACCAGCAUCUGGAGUAGAGGUGCACCCAGACAGACCAGCAUCUGGAGCAGAGGUGCACCCAGACAGACCAGCAUCUGGAGCAGAGGUGCACCCAGACAGACCAGCAUCUGGAGUACAGGUGCACCCAGACAGACCAGCAUCUGGAGUACAGGUGCACCCAGACAGACCAGCAUCUGGAGUACAGGUGCACCCAGACAGACCAGCAUCUGGAACGUCAUCUCAUGA